This 487-nucleotide long non-coding RNA is filed under the name Struthio camelus australis. RNAcentral's name for it is "lncRNA (ENSSCUG00000011362.1)". Lineage: Eukaryota; Metazoa; Chordata; Aves; Struthioniformes; Struthionidae. The record is from RNAcentral.
ACUCAGUUGUUGCUUCUGACUGUCACUUUAUCACUGUGAUUACUUCUUUACAGAUCCUGGAAAAGAGAAAGAAUUGAAGUCUCCAGCUGCCACAAAAGACAAAGAGCACACUAAAGAAAAAGAAGAAAAGAAUCCUACAGCUUUAAAAGAAAAAGAGUCUCUGAAAGGAAAAAAUCCCAAUCCAGAGGGGGCGAAGGAGAAAGAGCCUGGUAAAAGAAAAGAUGUGAAGCCUCCAGCAGUUUUGAAGGAAAAGGAGUCUUUAAAAGGAAAAGAAAUGAUGACUUCAACUUCCAUAAAGGAAAAAGCUGUGGUGAAAAAGGAAGAGGAGAAGAAAGAAGAGAAAACUAAACAACAAAAGACAGCUUCCACCAAGAAAUCAGUCCAGUCAAAGCCAGCAAAGCACGAAGCUGUCAAACAUGAGAAAGGCGUUCCAUUAACAAAACCAGGUAGGCAUCCAGCAUCUUAUGCGCUUGUUACUUUUGAAACU